AAACCGUUGUGUUACAACACGUAGUGAUUACUGUAGACAGAAAUAUAGACAUGAUAUCAUUGAGAAGACACAUAUAAGCUCGUAUUUAUCCUGGCCACUUAAAAAAACUCGGGUAUUUUGUUCACUUUUGACAGUAAAGGUCUACUUUUAUCGAUAAAGCCUGCUAUUUUUGUCCUUCAGGUGGGGCAAAUGCAUAUAGGAAAAUGCUAAUUCCAGUUGUAUUUCAGAAGGAAUUGUACAGAUGCUGUGCUUUAUUUUCUUCAAACUGGCACGAGGGAGACUAUGACCUUGCGUAGUUGAACUGAUGUCUUGGGGGAGAAGAACGUAGGAGAUGCUGGGUUCGGGAUGUUUUGAUCUACAUUUUGUUACUUUAGUGACAACUCCUAGUGAAAUUUUUGUAUAUUCUCUUGGUAUUUGGGAAAAUCUCGAACUUGAAUUUAAUCUUCAUUCUAUCAUGAAACAUGUUUCGUUUUAGCAUUCUGAUUGUAGUUAGAUAAUAAUGAGAAAAAUUAUGGUCCAGUAAAUUGAUAAUAAGUCUUUCAAAGAUUUGGAUUAUUCGAAUAUAAUAAAAAUA
RNAcentral lists this long non-coding RNA (574 nucleotides) under Olea europaea subsp. europaea. The record is from RNAcentral. Lineage: Eukaryota; Viridiplantae; Streptophyta; Magnoliopsida; Lamiales; Oleaceae.